ACUAAGGGAUUGUUUUGAGGUUGGGCCUGCCCACUGAAUAAUAAUUGAAGGGCCGCGGUAUUAUGACCGUGCAAAGGUAGCAUAAUCAUUAGUCUUUUAAUUGAGGGCUAGAAUGAAUGGUUUGACGAGGUAAUGACUGUCUCAUUAUGACAAUUAGAAGUUAACUUUUAGGUGAAAAGGCUUAAAUAUGUAUAUAGGACGAGAAGACCCUAUAGAGUUUGAUAUAUUUGAGUAAUUAUUUAUUUGGAUGUUUAUGUAUAAUUACUUAAUAUAUAUUUUGUUGGGGUGACAUAAAGAUAUAUUUAACUCUUUAUUUUAUUUACAUUGAUAUAUGGGUUUUUUGAUCCAUUUUUAGUGAUCAAAAGGUUAAAUUACCUUAGGGAUAACAGCGUAAUUUCCUUUGAGAGUUCGUAUCAACAAGGGAGAUUGCGACCUCGAUGUUGGAUUAAGAAGUAUAAUUGGAUGCAGUCGUUUAAUUUAUAGGUCUGUUCGACCUUUAAAGUCUUACGUGAUCUGAUUCCCGAACCGGA
Molecule: ribosomal RNA, 530 nt
Filed under: Kuwayamaea sapporensis
Lineage: Eukaryota; Metazoa; Arthropoda; Insecta; Orthoptera; Tettigoniidae
Description: partial 16S large subunit ribosomal RNA
Rfam family: Bacterial large subunit ribosomal RNA
Source: RNAcentral